CAGCCGCCACGGUAAUACGUAGGGUGCAAGCGUUAAUCGGAAUUACUGGGCGUAAAGGGCGCGUAGGCGGCCAUUCAAGUUAGAUGUGAAAGCCCUGGGCUCAACCUAGGAAUUGCAUUUGAUACUGUUUGGCUUGAGUUCGGGAGAGGUGAGUGGAAUUCCCAGUGUAGAGGUGAAAUUCGUAGAUAUUGGGAAGAACACCAGUGGCGAAGGCGGCUCACUGGACCGACACUGACGCUGAGGCGCGAAAGCGUGGGGAGCAAACAGGAUUAGAUACCCGGGUAGUCCCUGUCUCUUAUAC
This 301-nucleotide ribosomal RNA is filed under the name uncultured bacterium. RNAcentral's name for it is "partial 16S ribosomal RNA". It matches the Rfam family "Bacterial small subunit ribosomal RNA", at positions 509 to 807 of the family's 1533-position model. The record is from RNAcentral.